CGGUGAAUAGCGCAGUUUGGUGACGCAUCCUGAUUUUAGGAAUAGCGGACCAGAGGGUCGGGGGUUUUCCAAGACCUUGAAUUGGCUUCUUCACCGACCA
RNAcentral lists this transfer RNA (100 nucleotides) under Photobacterium ganghwense. RNAcentral describes it as "tRNA-OTHER". Lineage: Bacteria; Pseudomonadati; Pseudomonadota; Gammaproteobacteria; Vibrionales; Vibrionaceae. The record is from RNAcentral.